Molecule: transfer RNA, 68 nt
Filed under: Marmota monax (woodchuck)
Lineage: Eukaryota; Metazoa; Chordata; Mammalia; Rodentia; Sciuridae
Description: tRNA.Ala
Rfam family: tRNA (bases 5-65)
About the family: Transfer RNA (tRNA) molecules are approximately 80 nucleotides in length. Their secondary structure includes four short double-helical elements and three loops (D, anti-codon, and T loops). Further hydrogen bonds mediate the characteristic L-shaped molecular structure. tRNAs have two regions of fundamental functional importance: the anti-codon, which is responsible for specific mRNA codon recognition, and the 3' end, to which the tRNAs corresponding amino acid is attached (by aminoacyl-tRNA synthetases). tRNAs cope with the degeneracy of the genetic code in two manners: having more than one tRNA (with a specific anti-codon) for a particular amino acid; and 'wobble' base-pairing, i.e. permitting non-standard base-pairing at the 3rd anti-codon position.
Source: RNAcentral
GGAUUGUGGCUUAGUGGUAGAGCACUUGCCUAGCACAUGUGAGGCUCUGAGUUCAAUCCUCAGCACCA